Molecule: ribosomal RNA, 485 nt
Filed under: uncultured bacterium
Lineage: Bacteria
Description: bacterial SSU rRNA
Rfam family: Bacterial small subunit ribosomal RNA
Source: RNAcentral
CUACGUGCCAGCAGCCGCGGUAAUACGGAGGAUGCGAGCGUUAUCCGGAUUUAUUGGGUUUAAAGGGUGCGUAGGCGGCCUGUUAAGUCAGCGGUGAAAUCUAGGAGCUUAACUCCUAAAUUGCCAUUGAUACUGGCGGGCUUGAGUGUAGAUGAGGUAGGCGGAAUGCGUGGUGUAGCGGUGGAAUGCCUAGAUAUCACGCAGAACUCCGAUUGCGAAGGCAGCUUACUAAGGUACAACUGACGCUGAAGCACGAAAGCGUGGGUAUCAAACAGGAUUAGAUACCCUGGUAGUCCACGCAGUAAACGGUGAUUACUAGGUGUUGGGGGUCGAACCUCAGCGCCCAAGCUAACGCGAUAAGUAAUCCGCCUGGGGAGUACGUACGCAAGUAUGAAACUCAAAGGAAUUGACGGGGACCCGCACAAGCGGUGGAGCAUGUGGUUUAAUUCGACGCAACGCGAGGAACCUUACCAGCGUUUGACAUC